Molecule: ribosomal RNA, 253 nt
Filed under: uncultured bacterium
Lineage: Bacteria
Description: partial 16S ribosomal RNA
Rfam family: Bacterial small subunit ribosomal RNA
Source: RNAcentral
UACAGGGGGGGCAAGCGUUGUUCGGAAUUACUGGGCGUAAAGGGCCAGUAGGCGGCCAACUAAGUCCGACGUGAAAUCCCCAGGCUUAACCUGGGAACUGCGUCGGAUACUGGAUGGCUUGAAUUCGGGAGAGGGAUGCAGAAUUCCAGGUGUAGCGGUGAAAUGCGUAGAUAUCUGGAGGAAUACCGGUGGCGAAGGCGGCAUCCUGGACCGAAACUGACGCUGAGGAGCGAAAGCGUGGGGAGCAAACAGG